Molecule: ribosomal RNA, 2196 nt
Filed under: Triticum aestivum (bread wheat)
Lineage: Eukaryota; Viridiplantae; Streptophyta; Magnoliopsida; Poales; Poaceae
Description: partial small subunit ribosomal RNA
Source: RNAcentral
AUGGCCGCCGCCCUGAGCCCACCUCCACUCCCCGAGGGCGAAGCCAACGACGCCACAAACUGGGUCCUCCUCGACACCCAGGGCUACAUCGCCAGAUGCCCCAACGCGACCUUCGCCGAGAGCUUCACCGGCAUCGGCUACCGCGUCGAAGUGUCUUUCUGCACCGCCCGGCCGCCCCACGUCUCCCACUUCUGCGUCCACAUCCCGGGUGUUGAACCAUCCAACUACCUGAUGGCUCCCAGGGUCAUCAGCGCGGAGGCCAAUCUCAUCCUCUUCUGCCUUUCUGUGUAUCCGCGUUACCGCGACUACUUCAUCUACCGGGCGCACCCCCGGAACCCGUCGCUGGAGCUUCUUCCGCAUCCCUACCCCAACUCCUUCGGCGACCAGGAGGUCGCCCUCCUGAGCUUCGUCGUUGACGACGAAGACGACGACGAUUACGCUGUGGCCGCUCUCACAAGCAGGUGCGACGAGGAGGACGACGGCAUGGAGAGCCCCGUCCUCCACGACGUGCCGCUGCCGCUGCCGGCAAGGGGUAACUGGAGGGGCUACCGCCAAUUCCGCCCGUACCUCAUCCGGGACAUCACCGUCAGCCUGCUCAAAGGCUCCAUCAAGUACGUCGAGAUCGAGGUCUGCCCACGGGCAGCCCCUGACCACCCGCCGGAGUCCUACGUGGAUUGGUUUGGCCAAAAGCGUCGCGAAGAGCAGCACCAGUGCGGAACGUCUUGUGCAGGCUGGAAGGCCACCACAUGGAGCCUGUCGACGUCGGUUCUUCCAUCGGCGGAUUGGAACUCUGAAUGCACCUUCCAUCUUGCUGACAUCGCUGCCGACCCAAUGCAUUCUGAGCUGCUGCCUAGGCCGCCGCACGACACCAGCGACAGCCCCGCCGAGCCAACAUUACUGCAGCAACUCAUCGUUGGUUUCCCCACCCUGAGCAUGGAUGAUGAUGUUGUCUACGUGCUGUCUAAGGGCUGCCCCAAGGGUCUGAUGGAAGUGGUGAUUGCUGUUGACAUGAGGAAGAAGAAGGUGCGAGGAGUUGCUAAGCUUGUUUCCGGAAAGGACUUCACUUUUAUGCAUUCCCACCAAAAUCGGAACCCCGUCGUGAUGGGCGACGCCGCCGACGCCCCCCGCCGGCAACGGCUGGCCUCAAUUCUCCUUGCCCGGAAACCGCGCCUCACCGACAGCAGGAACGAGACCACGGCCACAGCCGUAUCCAUGGAUGGCUUCACCAUGGCGGUCUCCUUCUGGAUGGCCGACCCGCCGCAGCUGUCCAUCUUCUCCAUCUACUGCUGCAGACCCCCUCAUCUGCAAGCCGGGCCGUACUGCAAUUUCAAAGAUUUGCCACGCGUGGUCGGCGUCGGCGCGGAGGGCCGUUUCGUCCUCUUCCGCGCCGUCUUCGACCGCCGCUACACAUCCGAAUAUUUCCUGUACAAGGCCGGCGAGUCGCCGUCGCUCGAGUGGAUUCCUUCUCCCUACGAGUACAAUGAUGGCGACCUCGAUGAUCUGCGCGGGGUCAGGGAGUUCGGCGUCCUGCAGCAGCUCGGCGGCCACUAUCUCGUGGCCGCUCUCUGCCUCGCCCCGUUGUCGGAUGACUAUCACCUUCGGAUCUACUCGUCCGAGAGAACGUCAUGGAGCACCAGGACCCCGCCCAAUCCAUGUCCUGGGGUCGACAGGAUUAUACCCAACAAGGUGAUCACUCUUGGAGAAGAAGGCCUACUAGGGUGGGUUGAUUUGUCACAGGGCCUGCUGAUGUGCGACCUGCGUCAAGAUCAUGUGCGUUUCACUUUCAUCCCGUUGCCGGAGCCGUUGCCUGGGAACAGAUACAAACUAAAAGGUCAAAUUCCCCCUCCCACCGCAAAGAGAAGCAAAAAACUAGAGGGCGAAUCUCACCCAAAUCUCUGCUGGUUUCGGGAUCUCGCAUGGGUUGAUGGCGUGCUCAAGUUUAUUGAGAUGGAGAAUCUUGCUCCUGAAAGCCGGAGCGACAAGGGUGAUGUUAUCUACGAUUCAGACUUGAUCAUGUCGCUCGAGCGCAAAGCCGUGGAUUGGCAUUGCAAGCAGCUGUCCAUUGGGGGUGCCUGGAGGGCUGUCACAUGGACUCGGACAGUUUCGUCCAAUGUUGGCGCCAGACAUGCGCUGCCAAUGUCGCUGACAUCUUGGUUGUCGACGGAUCAGCGCAUUCAUCUUUGUUGCCCGGGCUAA